UGCCGCGUGCAGGAUGAAGGCCUUCGGGUUGUAAACUGCUUUUGUACCGAACGAAAAGCCUUUCUCUAAUAAAGGGGGGUCAUGACGGUACCGUAAGAAUAAGCACCGGCCAACUACAUGCCAGCACCCACGGUAAUACGUAAGGUGCGAGCGUUAAUCGGAAUUACUGGGCGUAAAGCGUGCGCAGGCGGUGAUGUAAGACAGUUGUGAAAUCCCCGGGCUCAACCUGGGAACUGCAUCUGUGACUGCAUCGCUGGAGUGCGGGGUAGGGGGAUGGAAUUCCGCGUGUAGCAGUGAAAUGCGUAGAUAUGCGGAGGAACACCGAUGGCGAACGGAUCCCCUGGGCCUGCACUGACGCUCAUGCACGAAAGCGUGGGGAGCAAACAGGAUUAGAUACCCUGGUAGUCCACGCCCUAAACGAUGUCUCCUGGUUGUUGGGUCUUCACUGACUCAAUAACGAACCUCACGCGUGAAGUUGACCGCCUGGGGAGUACGGCCGCAAGGUUGAAACUCACAGGAAUUGACGGGGACCCGCACAAACGGUGGAUGAUGUGGUUUAAUUCGAUGCAACGCGUAUAACCUUACCCACCUUUGACAUGUACUGAACUUGCCAGAGAUGGCU
This 622-nucleotide ribosomal RNA is filed under the name Comamonadaceae bacterium So3Pw_2820. RNAcentral's name for it is "bacterial SSU rRNA". It matches the Rfam family "Bacterial small subunit ribosomal RNA", at positions 395 to 1011 of the family's 1533-position model. Lineage: Bacteria; Pseudomonadati; Pseudomonadota; Betaproteobacteria; Burkholderiales; Comamonadaceae. The record is from RNAcentral.